This 446-nucleotide ribosomal RNA is filed under the name Micrococcus sp. oral taxon F54. RNAcentral's name for it is "bacterial SSU rRNA". It matches the Rfam family "Bacterial small subunit ribosomal RNA", at positions 28 to 487 of the family's 1533-position model. The record is from RNAcentral. Lineage: Bacteria; Bacillati; Actinomycetota; Actinomycetes; Micrococcales; Micrococcaceae.
GAUGAACGCUGGCGGCGUGCUUAACACAUGCAAGUCGAACGAUGAAGCCCAGCUUGCUGGGUGGAUUAGUGGCGAACGGGUGAGUAACACGUGAGUAACCUGCCCUUGACUCUGGGAUAAGCCCGGGAAACUGGGUCUAAUACCGGAUAGGAGCGCCUGUCGCAUGACGGGUGUUGGAAAGAUUUUUCGGUCAUGGAUGGACUCGCGGCCUAUCAGCUUGUUGGUGAGGUAAUGGCUCACCAAGGCGACGACGGGUAGCCGGCCUGAGAGGGUGACCGGCCACACUGGGACUGAGACACGGCCCAGACUCCUACGGGAGGCAGCAGUGGGGAAUAUUGCACAAUGGGCGGAAGCCUGAUGCAGCGACGCCGCGUGAGGGAUGACGGCCUUCGGGUUGUAAACCUCUUUCAGUAGGGAAGAAGCGAAAGUGACGGUACCUGCAGAGA